RNAcentral lists this long non-coding RNA (467 nucleotides) under Carica papaya (papaya). RNAcentral describes it as "long non-coding RNA (CPAP_LNC005959)". The record is from RNAcentral. Lineage: Eukaryota; Viridiplantae; Streptophyta; Magnoliopsida; Brassicales; Caricaceae.
UGGGCGUCCAUUAUUCUCCAAGCCACUCGGUCAGAGAAUGAUCCUUGUCCACCAUAAUAAGGAAACCAGAAGUAGUCCCCAAGCAUAAUUUUCGUCAGAUUAGGGAAUGUGGUCUUCCACAACUUAUUCUCAAAAACAUUGAAGAAAUAGCAAGAUUUCUUAGCAUGGGCUGACAGCAGAACCAUGUAGGGGCUCUGGGCGUCCAUUAUUCUCCAAGCCACUCGGUCAGAGAAUGAUCCUUGUCCACCAUAAUAAGGAAACCAGAAGUAGUCCCCAAGCAUAAUUUUCGUCAGAUUAGGGAAUGUGGUCUUCCACAACUUAUUCUCAAAAACAUUGAAGAAAUAGCAAGAUUUCUUAGCAUGGGCUGACAGCAGAACCAUGUAGGGGCUCUGGGCGUCCAUUAUUCUACGCCUGCAUGCAGCAGCAAAAUUUCUCCAAGCCUUGCAAACACGAGAAAACACAAGGAA